UAGUAAGAAGUGAAAAUUCACAUCUGAUUUCGGCUCAGACCUUGGUAUAAACUUGCCCUUAUUAA
RNAcentral lists this transfer RNA (65 nucleotides) under Pseudococculinidae sp. MNHN-IM-2013-40847. RNAcentral describes it as "tRNA-Arg". Lineage: Eukaryota; Metazoa; Mollusca; Gastropoda; Lepetellida; Pseudococculinidae. The record is from RNAcentral.